Molecule: ribosomal RNA, 440 nt
Filed under: uncultured bacterium
Lineage: Bacteria
Description: partial 16S ribosomal RNA
Rfam family: Bacterial small subunit ribosomal RNA
Source: RNAcentral
CCUUCGGGUGGCAGCAGUGGGGAAUAUUGCACAAUGGAGGGAACUCUGAUGCAGCGACGCCGCGUGAAUGAAGAAGUAAUUCGUUAUGUAAAACUCUAUCAGCAGGGGAGAAAGUGACGGUACCUGAAAAAGAAUCUCAGGCUAAAUCCGUGCCAGCAGCCGCGGUAAUACGUAUGGAGCAAGCGUUAUCCGGAUGUACUGGGUGUAAAGGGAGAGUAGGUGGCAGAGCAAGUCCGAAGUGAAAACCCAAAGCUCAACUAUGGGAAUGCUUUAGAAACUGCUCAGCUAGAGUGCAGGAGAGGGAAGUGGAAUGUUUGGUGUAGCGGUGAAAUGCGUAGAUAUUAGGAGGAACACCAGUGGCGAAGGCGGCUUUCUGGACUGUAACUGACACUGAGGCGCGAAAGCGUGGGGAGCAAACAGGAUUAGAUACCCUAGUAGUC